This 73-nucleotide transfer RNA is filed under the name Pteropus alecto (black flying fox). It matches the Rfam family "tRNA". Rfam says of the family: Transfer RNA (tRNA) molecules are approximately 80 nucleotides in length. Their secondary structure includes four short double-helical elements and three loops (D, anti-codon, and T loops). Lineage: Eukaryota; Metazoa; Chordata; Mammalia; Chiroptera; Pteropodidae. The record is from Rfam by way of RNAcentral.
GGUUCCAUAGUGUGGCGGUUAGCAUGUCUGCUUUACAUGCAGAAGGUCCUGGGUUUGCGCCCCAGUGGAGACA